This 434-nucleotide ribosomal RNA is filed under the name uncultured bacterium. Its description in RNAcentral is "partial 16S ribosomal RNA". It matches the Rfam family "Bacterial small subunit ribosomal RNA", at positions 29 to 507 of the family's 1533-position model. The record is from RNAcentral.
AGCGAACGCUGGCGGCAGGCCUAACACAUGCAAGUCGAACGAACCUUUCGGGGUUAGUGGCGGAUGGGUGAGUAACACGUGGGAACGUGCCAGUAGGUUCGGAAUAACUUAGGGAAACUUGUGCUAAGACCGAAUGUGCCCUUCGGGGGAAAGAUUUAUCGCCUUUAGAGCGGCCCGCGCCCGUUUAGCUAGUUGGUUGAGGUAAUGGCUCACCAAGGCGACGAUCAGUAGCUGGUCUGAGAGGAUGAUCAGCCACAUUGGGACUGAGACACGGCCCAAACUCCUACGGGAGGCAGCAGUGGGGAAUCUUGCGCAAUGGGCGAAAGCCUGACGCAGCCAUGCCGCGUGAAUGAUGAAGGUCUUAGGAUUGUAAAAUUCUUUCACCGGGGACGAUAAUGACGGUACCCGGAGAAGAAGCCCCGGCUAACUUCGUG